UACAGAGGUCUCAAGCGUUAUUCGGAUUCAUUGGGCGUAAAGGGUGUGUAGGUGGCGCUGUAAGUCGGGUGUGAAAUCUCGGGGCUUAACUCCGAAACUGCAUUCGAUACUGCGGUGCUUGAGGACUGGAGAGGAGACUGGAAUUCAUGGUGUAGCAGUGAAAUGCGUAGAGAUCAUGAGGAAGACCAGUGGCGAAGGCGGGUCUCUGGACAGUUCCUGACACUGAGACACGAAGGCCAGGGGAGCAAACGGG
This 253-nucleotide ribosomal RNA is filed under the name uncultured bacterium. Its description in RNAcentral is "partial 16S ribosomal RNA". It matches the Rfam family "Bacterial small subunit ribosomal RNA", at positions 524 to 776 of the family's 1533-position model. The record is from RNAcentral.